UGCGUAGGUGGUUUGAUAAGUCAGAGGUGAAAGCCCACCGCUUAACGGUGGAAUUGCCUUUGAUACUGUCAGACUUGAAUAAGGUUGAGGUCAGCGGAAUGUGUCAUGUAGCGGUGAAAUGCAUAGAUAUGACAUAGAACACCAAUUGCGAAGGCAGCUGGCUAGACCUUUAUUGACACUGAGGCACGAAAGCGUGGGGAGCGAACAGGAUUAGAUACCCUGGUAGUCC
RNAcentral lists this ribosomal RNA (229 nucleotides) under uncultured bacterium. RNAcentral describes it as "partial 16S ribosomal RNA". It matches the Rfam family "Bacterial small subunit ribosomal RNA", at positions 568 to 796 of the family's 1533-position model. The record is from RNAcentral.